AUGACCGCUGGUGAGACUUCCCAGCACUCUUUUCCCUGCUACGGCAGCCAUGGCGCUGUGUUCCCCGGUUGUGACGUUUCAAGAGAGAAGAUGGGAACUUUUCCAGGAAGUCUAAACCAAGUUAGAAAAAAUCUCAUCACACAAGACCUAGAAGCCUCCAGUUGUGGAACUCUCCAGUCCACAAGCCCAAUUCCAAUAGCAGAUUGAAGGGUCUGGAAAGAAAAAGAGGAAGAUGCCGUGGUAAUCAACCAGGGGACCCCUAGAGAUACCGUACUUGUAACCAGUCAGAAUCCACCAUCCCCCAUGGCAGUGUGCUUAUGUAUUAUUUAUCUCACUUUUUAAGGUGGGAGAACCUGUCUAGUCUGUAAUACUAUUUGAAAUCACCUUUGGUAUGCAUCCUCCUUUAUUAAAGGUGCUUAUAUGUUGACAUCCUGCUUUCUCUGUUUACAUUUCCUUGACUUUCAGUCUUCAAGAGAAUACAUGAAAACCUAAAAUAUCACCAUCACAGACUUCAAGGCAAGUUUUAAGACAGAAACGCUUGAUUUAAUUUGGUGUAUUACAUCUAUUUAAUGGAUGAGAAACAUGUUCCUUAGAUGGAAUGAGUUGAAGAAAGAAAUCAAUCAGGAUUGAUGAAUAAACCAGAUUGCCUUCCAGGUCUUUCCAAGUUACUGGAGCCACACUGUGGCUUUGUUUGGCUUAGAGGAAAUUCCCACUACGUCAGCAGAAACACAUAGAAUGAUAACACUAAACAGAACUUUAAAAAAAAAUCUGCAAUUGUGUUUAUUAUCUCAAAAUUCAAAGUAUCUAAUUUGGAAAUUUUUUUAUAAUUGUGUAUACAUGUACACACAAGAGAGGAAAGUGAUACAGUGAUACAAACAGAUCAUUAGUACUCCAGAGAGGUGGGACAUUGAAGAUAAAUUAAAGAAGCCUUUACUAAAGUAAAACAACUUGGCUGAAGUCUCACCAUAAGAGAGAUCCAUGGAAUCAAUGCUAAAGUCUCAGCAACAGCCUGCAAGAAUUAAGGAAAAUACUCUGCUGAGAUACACACCAUGUGCUAAGACUACUGUCUGAAGCUAUACAGUACACACAAGCUAGCUUCUUUUUUUACCCAUGUGAUGCUACAUUUGACAGGGGAAGAUAGUAGUUUGAGUAAGGCAUUAAUUGCUUUACUAAAGCGGUAAAAUAGAAUUUCGAAUAUAUGAGUUACUUAACUUUUACACCAGAUUAUCAUGUACAGUCUGGCCAGUCUGCAGUGUGUUCUGUAACACUCCAUUUUUAACCUGCUUCUCUUCCUUACGCUUCAUUAAACACAAAUGCCUGCAGAGGAUGUGUACUUCUUUUAAAUGCAUGGAACAAACCAGGUAUAAAAGAGAGAUGACCAGCUACUUAUGUUGCAACUAAAGAUGAUAGGCCAUCUUGCAUUGUCUUUUAACACUAAACAAUGCCUGCCUGUCUUCACACUGUACAUAUGAGGCAGCUAAUUUUAGAUUCUCUGCUUCUACACACUCAUGCUGUGAAAAUGUAAGCACACCCUCAGCUUUUAACUGUCACUUGUAUGCUGUUGGUUGACAACUCUCCAAUCUAUUUUUUCC
RNAcentral lists this long non-coding RNA (1592 nucleotides) under Macaca mulatta (Rhesus monkey). RNAcentral describes it as "lncRNA (ENSMMUG00000057854.1)". Lineage: Eukaryota; Metazoa; Chordata; Mammalia; Primates; Cercopithecidae. The record is from RNAcentral.